RNAcentral lists this ribosomal RNA (779 nucleotides) under uncultured Neocallimastigales. RNAcentral describes it as "partial large subunit ribosomal RNA". It matches the Rfam family "Eukaryotic large subunit ribosomal RNA", at positions 20 to 643 of the family's 3401-position model. Lineage: Eukaryota; Fungi; Neocallimastigomycota; Neocallimastigomycetes; Neocallimastigales. The record is from RNAcentral.
CAUCACUACGCUAGAUGCAUAUCAAUAAGCGGAGGAAAAGAAACUAACAAGGAUUCCCCUAGUAACGGCGAGUGAAGCGGGAAGAGCUCAAAUUUGAAAUCUUAAAGGGUUUCCCUUUACGAAUUGUAGUUUAAAGAAGUGUUUUCUGUUGGAGUUUCGGUAAAAGUUCUUUGGAAUAGGACAUCAUAGAGGGUGAGAAUCCCGUAUUUGACCGUUACUUUCCAGCUGUGUGAUACACUUUCAAAGAGUCGGAUUGUUUGGGAAUGCAGUCCAAGAUGGGUGGUAAAUUUCAUCUAAAGCUAGAUAUUGGCGAGAGACCGAUAGCGAACAAGUACCGUGAGGGAAAGAUGAAAAGAACUUAGAAAAGAGAGUUAAACAGUACGUGAAAUUGUCAAAAGGGAAGCGUUUGACACCAGUGUUGUUUAGUUGAAAAUCAAUUCAAUAAUUUUUGAUUCUAAGUAGUAUUGACUUCAUCAGCUUGCUGCUUUCUUCUCAGGAAUUAUUGAAUGCACUUUUCAGUUAACAAGUCAACAUCAAUUUCUUUUGUUGUAAAAGGGUAAGAGGAAGGUGGCUUACGCUUCGGCGUCAAGUGUUUAUAGCCUUUUAUCCUCUGCAAUCGGAGAGAUUGAGGUACUAGCAGCGUAGAUCCUUCGGGGUUAGAUACAUUGGUGCUAAGCUAUAGCCUUGUAUAGACAACUUGUUGACUAUGCUCAGUCAUGUAGCUUACUCGCUGAUGCUAUUUUACCUACGCUUAGGAUGUUGAUAUGCAUGACUGAUAU